UGAGGAAUAUUGGUCAAUGGGCGUAAGCCUGAACCAGCCAAGUCGCGUGAAGGAUGAAGGUUCUAUGGAUCGUAAACUUCUUUUAUAGGGGAAUAAAGUGCGCCACGUGUGGUGUUUUGUAUGUACCCUAGGAAUAAGCAUCGGCUAACUCCGUGCCAGCAGCCGCGGUAAUACGGAGGAUGCGAGCGUUAUCCGGAUUUACUGGGUGUAAAGGGAGCGCAGGCGGGAAAUCAAGUCAGCUGUGAAAACUACGGGCUCAACCCGUAGACUGCAGUUGAAACUGUUUUUCUUGAGUGGAGUAGAGGUAGGCGGAAUUCCGAGUGUAGCGGUGAAAUGCGUAGAUAUUCGGAGGAACACCAGUGGCGAAGGCGGCCUACUGGGCUCUAACUGACGCUGAGGCUCGAAAGUGUGGGGAGCAAACA
Molecule: ribosomal RNA, 422 nt
Filed under: uncultured bacterium
Lineage: Bacteria
Description: bacterial SSU rRNA
Rfam family: Bacterial small subunit ribosomal RNA
Source: RNAcentral